GUGACUGCGUACCUUUUGUAUAAUGGGUCAGCGACUUAUAUUCUGUAGCAAGGUUAACCGAAUAGGGGAGCCGCAGGGAAACCGAGUCUUAAUUGGGCGUUAAGUUGCAGGGUAUAGACCCGAAACCCGGUGAUCUAGCCAUGGGCAGGUUGAAGGUUGGGUAACACUAACUGGAGGACCGAACCGACUAAUGUUGAAAAAUUAGCGGAUGACCUGUGGCUGGGGGUGAAAGGCCAAUCAAACCGGGAGAUAGCUGGUUCUCCCCGAAAGCUAUUUAGGUAGCGCCUCGUGAAUUCAUCUCCGGGGGUAGAGCACUGUUUCGGCUAGGGGGCCAUCCCGGCUUACCAACCCGAUGCAAACUGCGAAUACCGGAGAAUGUUAUCACGGGAGACACACGGCGGGUGCUAACGUCCGUCGUGAAGAGGGAAACAACCCAGACCGCCAGCUAAGGUCCCAAAGUCAUGGUUAAGUGGGAAACGAUGUGGGAAGGCCCAGACAGCCAGGAUGUUGGCUUAGAAGCAGCCAUCAUUUAAAGAAAGCGUAAUAGCUCACUGGUCGAGUCGGCCUGCGCGGAAGAUGUAACGGGGCUAAACCAUGCACCGAAGCUGCGGCAGCGA
Molecule: ribosomal RNA, 617 nt
Filed under: Salmonella enterica subsp. enterica serovar Tennessee
Lineage: Bacteria; Pseudomonadati; Pseudomonadota; Gammaproteobacteria; Enterobacterales; Enterobacteriaceae
Description: bacterial LSU rRNA
Rfam family: Bacterial large subunit ribosomal RNA
Source: RNAcentral